RNAcentral lists this ribosomal RNA (468 nucleotides) under uncultured bacterium. Its description in RNAcentral is "partial 16S ribosomal RNA". It matches the Rfam family "Bacterial small subunit ribosomal RNA", at positions 28 to 507 of the family's 1533-position model. The record is from RNAcentral.
GACGAACGCUGGCGGCGUGCUUAACACAUGCAAGUCGAACGGAAAGGCCCUGCUUUUGUGGGUUGCUCGAGUGGCGAACGGGUGAUUAACACGUGAUUAACCUGCCCUUGACUUUGGGAUAACUUCAGGAAACUGGGGCUAAUACCGGAUAGGAGCUCCUGCUGCAUGGUGGGGGUUGGAAAGUUUCGGCGGUUGGGGAUGGACUCGCGGCUUAUCAGCUUGUUGGUGGGGUAGUGGCUUACCAAGGCUUUGACGGGUAGCCGGCCUGAGAGGGUGACCGGCCACAUUGGGACUGAGAUACGGCCCAGACUCCUACGGGAGGCAGCAGUGGGGAAUAUUGCACAAUGGGCGGAAGCCUGAUGCAGCAACGCCGCGUGCGGGAUGACGGCCUUCGGGUUGUAAACCGCUUUCGCCUGUGACGAAGCGUGAGUGACGGUAAUGGGUAAAGAAGCACCGGCUAACUACGUG